RNAcentral lists this ribosomal RNA (1369 nucleotides) under uncultured bacterium. Its description in RNAcentral is "bacterial SSU rRNA". It matches the Rfam family "Bacterial small subunit ribosomal RNA", at positions 28 to 1381 of the family's 1533-position model. The record is from RNAcentral.
GACGAACGCUGGCGGCGUGCCUAAUACAUGCAAGUAGAACGCUGAAGAGAGGAGCUUGCUCUUCUUGGAUGAGUUGCGAACGGGUGAGUAACGCGUAGGUAACCUGCCUUGUAGCGGGGGAUAACUAUUGGAAACGAUAGCUAAUACCGCAUAACAAUGGAUGACACAUGUCAUUUAUUUGAAAGGGGCAAUUGCUCCACUACAAGAUGGACCUGCGUUGUAUUAGCUAGUAGGUGAGGUAACGGCUCACCUAGGCGACGAUACAUAGUCGACCUGAGAGGGUGAUCGGCCACACUGGGACUGAGACACGGCCCAGACUCCUACGGGAGGCAGCAGUAGGGAAUCUUCGGCAAUGGGGGCAACCCUGACCGAGCAACGCCGCGUGAGUGAAGAAGGUUUUCGGAUCGUAAAGCUCUGUUGUAAGUCAAGAACGAGUGUGAGAGUGGAAAGUUCACACUGUGACGGUAGCUUACCAGAAAGGGACGGCUAACUACGUGCCAGCAGCCGCGGUAAUACGUAGGUCCCGAGCGUUGUCCGGAUUUAUUGGGCGUAAAGCGAGCGCAGGCGGUUUGAUAAGUCUGAAGUUAAAGGCUGUGGCUCAACCAUAGUUCGCUUUGGAAACUGUCAAACUUGAGUGCGGAAGGGGAGAGUGGAAUUCCAUGUGUAGCGGUGAAAUGCGUAGAUAUAUGGAGGAACACCGGUGGCGAAAGCGGCUCUCUGGUCUGUAACUGACGCUGAGGCUCGAAAGCGUGGGGAGCGAACAGGAUUAGAUACCCUGGUAGUCCACGCCGUAAACGAUGAGUGCUAGGUGUUGGAUCCUUUCCGGGAUUCAGUGCCGCAGCUAACGCAUUAAGCACUCCGCCUGGGGAGUACGACCGCAAGGUUGAAACUCAAAGGAAUUGACGGGGGCCCGCACAAGCGGUGGAGCAUGUGGUUUAAUUCGAAGCAACGCGAAGAACCUUACCAGGUCUUGACAUCCCGAUGCUAUUUCUAGAGAUAGAAAGUUACUUCGGUACAUCGGUGACAGGUGGUGCAUGGUUGUCGUCAGCUCGUGUCGUGAGAUGUUGGGUUAAGUCCCGCAACGAGCGCAACCCCUAUUGUUAGUUGCCAUCAUUCAGUUGGGCACUCUAGCGAGACUGCCGGUAAUAAACCGGAGGAAGGUGGGGAUGACGUCAAAUCAUCAUGCCCCUUAUGACCUGGGCUACACACGUGCUACAAUGGUUGGUACAACGAGUUGCGAGUCGGUGACGGCAAGCUAAUCUCUUAAAGCCAAUCUCAGUUCGGAUUGUAGGCUGCAACUCGCCUACAUGAAGUCGGAAUCGCUAGUAAUCGCGGAUCAGCACGCCGCGGUGAAUACGUUCCCGGGCCU